Molecule: ribosomal RNA, 377 nt
Filed under: uncultured eukaryote
Lineage: Eukaryota
Description: partial 18S ribosomal RNA
Rfam family: Eukaryotic small subunit ribosomal RNA
Source: RNAcentral
CAAUAGCGUAUAUUUAAGUUGCUGCAGUUAAAAAGCUCGUAGUUGGAUUUCGGGUGGGAAUGGCCGGUCCGCCGUUUCGGUGUGCACUUGCUACGCCCACCUUGCUGCCGGGGACGUGCUCUUGAGUUCACGCUCGGGACACGGAGUCGGCGAGGUUACUUUGAGUAAAUUAGAGUGUUCAAAGCAGGCCUACGCUCUGAAUACAUUAGCAUGGAAUAACACGAUAGGACUCUGGCCUAUCUUGUUGGUCUGUAGGAACGGAGUAAUGAUUAAGAGGGACAGUCGGGGGCAUUCGUAUUUCAUUGUCAGAGGUGAAAUUCUUGGAUUUAUGAAAGACGAACUACUGCGAAAGCAUUUGCCAAGGAUGUUUUCAUUAA